UACGAAGGGGGCUAGCGUUGUUCGGAAUUACUGGGUGUAAAGGGCGCGUAGGCGGUGUGUCAAGUCAGGCGUGAAAGCCCCGGGCUCAACCUGGGAACAGCGCUUGAGACUGGCACGCUCGAGUUCGGGAGAGGAUGGUGGAAUUCCCAGUGUAGAGGUGAAAUUCGUAGAUAUUGGGAAGAACACCGGUGGCGAAGGCGGCGAGCUGGCCUGUACCUGACGCUGAGGCGCGACAGCGUGGGGAGCAAACAGG
RNAcentral lists this ribosomal RNA (253 nucleotides) under uncultured bacterium. RNAcentral's name for it is "partial 16S ribosomal RNA". It matches the Rfam family "Bacterial small subunit ribosomal RNA", at positions 524 to 776 of the family's 1533-position model. The record is from RNAcentral.